AUAGGGAUGAAACUUUUAAGACUGAAAAGUGUAUGUGUUGAAAUUCUUCAGUCCUCUAAGAAGUUCUGAAUAG
Small nucleolar RNA from Ruditapes philippinarum (Manila clam), 73 nucleotides. RefSeq annotates it as small nucleolar RNA SNORD61. The record is from RefSeq and is a predicted model, not a curated record. NCBI's taxonomy places the organism in Eukaryota, Metazoa, Mollusca, Bivalvia, Venerida, Veneridae. The transcript has a single exon.